RNAcentral lists this transfer RNA (77 nucleotides) under Candidatus Saccharimonadota bacterium. RNAcentral describes it as "tRNA-Val". It matches the Rfam family "tRNA". From Rfam's summary of the family: Transfer RNA (tRNA) molecules are approximately 80 nucleotides in length. Their secondary structure includes four short double-helical elements and three loops (D, anti-codon, and T loops). The record is from RNAcentral. RNAcentral also lists the same sequence under 1 other name. Lineage: Bacteria; Candidatus Saccharimonadota.
GGGCGGUUAGCUCAUUUGGCUAGAGCGCUGCAUUGACGUUGCAGAGGUGACAGGUUCAAAUCCUGUACCGCCCACCA